GCUAUACAUGCAAGUCGAGCGAACAGAUAAGGAGCUUGCUCCUUUGACGUUAGCGGCGGACGGGUGAGUAACACGUGGGUAACCUACCUAUAAGACUGGGAUAACUUCGGGAAACCGGAGCUAAUACCGGAUAACAUUUGGAACCGCAUGGUUCUAAAGUGAAAGAUGGUUUUGCUAUCACUUAUAGAUGGACCCGCGCCGUAUUAGCUAGUUGGUAAGGUAACGGCUUACCAAGGCGACGAUACGUAGCCGACCUGAGAGGGUGAUCGGCCACACUGGAACUGAGACACGGUCCAGACUCCUACGGGAGGCAGCAGUAGGGAAUCUUCCGCAAUGGGCGAAAGCCUGACGGAGCAACGCCGCGUGAGUGAUGAAGGGUUUCGGCUCGUAAAACUCUGUUAUUAGGGAAGAACAAAUGUGUAAGUAACUGUGCACGUCUUGACGGUACCUAAUCAGAAAGCCACGGCUAACUACGUGCCAGCAGCCGCGGUAAUACGUAGGUGGCAAGCGUUAUCCGGAAUUAUUGGGCGUAAAGCGCGCGUAGGCGGUUUCUUAAGUCUGAUGUGAAAGCCCACGGCUCAACCGUGGAGGGUCAUUGGAAACUGGGAAACUUGAGUGCAGAAGAGGAAAGUGGAAUUCCAUGUGUAGCGGUGAAAUGCGCAGAGAUAUGGAGGAACACCAGUGGCGAAGGCGACUUUCUGGUCUGUAACUGACGCUGAUGUGCGAAAGCGUGGGGAUCAAACAGGAUUAGAUACCCUGGUAGUCCACGCCGUA
This 774-nucleotide ribosomal RNA is filed under the name Staphylococcus sp. 1146(2011). RNAcentral describes it as "bacterial SSU rRNA". It matches the Rfam family "Bacterial small subunit ribosomal RNA", at positions 48 to 804 of the family's 1533-position model. The record is from RNAcentral. Lineage: Bacteria; Bacillati; Bacillota; Bacilli; Caryophanales; Staphylococcaceae.